GAUUGAACGCUGGCGGCAUGCCUAACACACGCAAGUCGAACGGAAGCAAGGGGCAACUCUUGCUUCAGUGGCGGACGGGUGAGUAAUACGUAGGAAUCUUCCCUUAAGUGGGGGACAACCCGGGGAAACUCGGGCUAAUACCGCAUAAUCUCUAUGGAGCAAAGAAGGGGACCUUCGGGCCUUUCGCUUUAGGAUGAGCCUACGUCGGAUUAGCUAGUUGGUAGGGUAAAGGCCUACCAAGGCAACGAUCCGUAGCUGGUCUGAGAGGACGGCCAGCCACACUGGGACUGAGACACGGCCCAGACUCCUACGGGAGGCAGCAGUGGGGAAUUUUGGACAAUGGGGGAAACCCUGAUCCAGCAAUGCCGCGUGUGUGAAGAAGGCCUUCGGGUUGUAAAGCACUUUUAGUGGGGAAGAAAGGCUCAAGGCUAAUAUCCUUGAGCGUUGACAUUACCCAAAGAAAAAGCACCGGCUAACUCUGUGCCAGCAGCCGCGGUAAUACAGAGGGUGCGAGCGUUAAUCGGAAUUACUGGGCGUAAAGCGCAUGUAGGUGGAUUUUUAAGUCGGGUGUGAAAGCCCCGGGCUCAACCUGGGAAUCGCAUUCGAUACUGAAUAUCUGGAGUAUGGUAGAGGGAAGUGGAACUUCCGGUGUAGCGGUGAAAUGCGUAGAUAUCGGAAAGAACAUCAGUGGCGAAAGCGUCUUCCUGGACCAAUACUGACACUAAAGUGCGAAAAGCGUGGGGAGCAAACAGGAUUAGAUACCCCGGUAGUCCACGCCGUAAACGAUGAGAACUGGGCGCUGGGGAGCUUUGUCUCUUUAGUGCCGAAGCUAACGCGUUAAGUUCUCCGCCUGGGGAGUACGGCCGCAAGGCUAAAACUCAAAGGAAUUGACGGGGGCCUGCACAAGCGGUGGAGCAUGUGGUUCAAUUCGAUGCAACGCGAAAAACCUUACCUACUCUUGACAUCCUCGGAACCUUGCAGAAAUGUGAGGGUGCCUUCGGGAACCGAGAGACAGGUGCUGCAUGGCCGUCGUCAGCUCGUGUCGUGAGAUGUUGGGUUAAGUCCCGCAACGAGCGCAACCCUCGCCCUUAGUUGCCAGCAUUUAGUUGGGCACUCUAAGGGGACUGCCGGUGAUAAGCCGAGAGGAAGGUGGGGAUGACGUCAAGUCCUCAUGGCCCUUACGGGCUGGGCUACACACGUGCUACAAUGGUGGUGACAGUGGGCAGCGAGCACGCGAGUGUGAGCUAAUCUCCAAAAGCCAUCUCAGUUCGGAUUGCACUCUGCAACUCGAGUGCAUGAAGUUGGAAUCGCUAGUAAUCGCGGAUCAGCAUGCCGCGGUGAAUACGUUCCCGGGCC
This 1356-nucleotide ribosomal RNA is filed under the name uncultured bacterium. Its description in RNAcentral is "bacterial SSU rRNA". It matches the Rfam family "Bacterial small subunit ribosomal RNA", at positions 27 to 1380 of the family's 1533-position model. The record is from RNAcentral.